RNAcentral lists this ribosomal RNA (699 nucleotides) under uncultured bacterium. Its description in RNAcentral is "bacterial SSU rRNA". It matches the Rfam family "Bacterial small subunit ribosomal RNA", at positions 135 to 854 of the family's 1533-position model. The record is from RNAcentral.
ACACACGGAUAACAUACCGAAAGGUAUGCUAAUACGGGAUAAUAUAUUUGAGAGGCAUCUCUUAAAUAUCAAAGGUGAGCCAGUACAGGAUGGACCCGCGUCUGAUUAGCUAGUUGGUAAGGUAACGGCUUACCAAGGCGACGAUCAGUAGCCGACCUGAGAGGGUGAUCGGCCACAUUGGAACUGAGACACGGUCCAAACUCCUACGGGAGGCAGCAGUGGGGAAUAUUGCACAAUGGGCGAAAGCCUGAUGCAGCAACGCCGCGUGAGUGAUGAAGGCCUUCGGGUCGUAAAACUCUGUCCUCAAGGAAGAUAAUGACGGUACUUGAGGAGGAAGCCCCGGCUAACUACGUGCCGGCAGCCGCGGUAAUACGUAGGGGGCUAGCGUUAUCCGGAUUUACUGGGCGUAAAGGGUGCGUAGGCGGUCUUUCAAGUCAGGAGUGAAAGGCUACGGCUCAAUCGUAGUAAGCUCUUGAAACUGGGAGACUUGAGUGCAGGAGAGGAGAGUGGAAUUCCUAGUGUAGCGGUGAAAUGCGUAGAUAUUAGGAGGAACACCAGUUGCGAAGGCGGCUCUCUGGACUGUAACUGACGCUGAGGCACGAAAGCGUGGGGAGCAAACAGGAUUAGAUACCCUGGUAGUCCACGCUGUAAACGAUGAGUACUAGGUGUCGGGGGUUACCCCCUUCGGUGCCGCAGCUA